UAAAUAUCUAAAUUUUAAGUGUGUCAUUUACAAUGAUAAGAUGUUAUUUUAAUUAACUUUAUUUAUAAUUUAUUUUAUUAAUAAAUAAAUAUUUUUUUAU
This 100-nucleotide transfer RNA is filed under the name Tuberculatus indicus. RNAcentral describes it as "tRNA-Val". Lineage: Eukaryota; Metazoa; Arthropoda; Insecta; Hemiptera; Aphididae. The record is from RNAcentral.